This 461-nucleotide ribosomal RNA is filed under the name uncultured bacterium. RNAcentral describes it as "partial 16S ribosomal RNA". It matches the Rfam family "Bacterial small subunit ribosomal RNA", at positions 338 to 795 of the family's 1533-position model. The record is from RNAcentral.
CCUACGGGUGGCAGCAGUGAGGAAUAUUGGUCAAUGGACGAGAGUCUGAACCAGCCAAGUAGCGUGAAGGAUGACUGCCCUAUGAGUUGUAAACUUCUUUUAUAUGGGAAUAAAAUGUUCCACGUGUGGCCAGACGAGAGUACCGUACGAAUAAGCAUCGGCUAACUCCGUGCCAGCAGCCGCGGUAAUACGGGGGAUGCAAGCGUUAUCCGGAUUUAUUGGGUUUAAAGGGUGCGUAGGCUGUAAGGUAAGUCAGCGGUGAAAUGCCCCGGCUCAACGGGGUGAACUGCCAUUGAUACUGUCGUGCUGGAGGGCGGAUGCAGUAGGAGGAAUGUGUGGUGUAGCGGUGAAAUGCAUAGAUAUCACACAGAACACCGAUUGCGAAGGCAGCUCACGAAUCCGCGAUUGACGCUGAUGCACGAAAGCGUGGGUAGCAAACAGGAUUAGAUACCCUUGUAGUC